UACCUGGUUGAUCCUGCCAGUAGUCAUAUGCUUGUCUCAAAGAUUAAGCCAUGCAAGUCUAAGUACGAGCUCUCGUACAGUGAAACUGCGAAUGGCUCAUUAAAUCAGUUAUGGUUCAUUUGAUCGUACAGUUUACUUGGAUAACUGUGGUAAUUCUAGAGCUAAUACAUGCGAGAAGCGCCGACCUCGCGGGAGGCGUGCAUUUAUCAGACCAAAAACCGGCCGCGUCUUCGGGCGCGUUCGCCUUGGUGACUCUGGAUAACUUUGCGGAUCGCACGGUCUAGCACCGGCGACGGAUCAUUCAAGUGUCUGCCCUAUCAACUUUCGUCGGUACGGUAUUUGCCUACCGAGGUUCUUACGGGUGACGGGGAAUCAGGGUUCGAUUCCGGAGAGGGAGCCUGAGAAACGGCUACCACAUCCAAGGAAGGCAGCAGGCGCGCAAAUUACCCAUUCCCGACGCGGGGAGGUAGUGACGAAAAAUAACAAUGCAGGACUCGUUCGAGGCCCUGUAAUUGGAAUGAGUACACUUUAAAAGCUUUAACGAGUAUCCAUUGGAGGGCAAGUCUGGUGCCAGCAGCCGCGGUAAUUCCAGCUCCAAAAGUAUAUAUUUAAGUUGUUGCGGUUAAAAAGCUCGUAGUUGGAUUUUGGGCG
This is a non-coding RNA of Ciona savignyi (Pacific transparent sea squirt), 651 nucleotides long. The record is from Rfam. Lineage: Eukaryota; Metazoa; Chordata; Ascidiacea; Phlebobranchia; Cionidae.